This 250-nucleotide ribosomal RNA is filed under the name uncultured prokaryote. RNAcentral's name for it is "partial 16S ribosomal RNA". It matches the Rfam family "Bacterial small subunit ribosomal RNA", at positions 524 to 773 of the family's 1533-position model. The record is from RNAcentral.
UACGGAGGAUGCAAGCGUUAUCCGGAUUUAUUGGGUUUAAAGGGUGCGUAGGCGGUUUUGCAAGUCAGCGGUGAAACGCAAGGGCUUAACCCUUGACCUGCCGUUGAAACUGCAGGACUUGAAUGCGGAUGCUGUGGGAGGAAUGUGUGGUGUAGCGGUGAAAUGCAUAGAUAUCACACAGAACACCGAUUGCGAAGGCAUCUCACAAAUCCGUGAUUGACGCUGAGGCACGAAAGUGUGGGGAUCAAAC